Molecule: ribosomal RNA, 253 nt
Filed under: uncultured bacterium
Lineage: Bacteria
Description: partial 16S ribosomal RNA
Rfam family: Bacterial small subunit ribosomal RNA
Source: RNAcentral
UACGAAGGUGGCUAGCGUUAUUCGGAAUUACUGGGCGUAAAGCGCGUUUAGGCGGUGCGAUCAGUCAGAGGUGAAAUCCCAGGGCUUAACCCUGGAAUUGCCUUUGAAACUAUCGUGCUGGAAUCGUACAGAGGAGUGUGGAAUUCUUAGUGUAGGAGUGAAAUCCGUAGAUAUUAAGAGGAACACCAGUGGCGAAGGCGGCACUCGGGGUACGUAGUGACGCUGAGACGCGAAAGCGUGGGGAGCAAACAGG